RNAcentral lists this long non-coding RNA (2149 nucleotides) under Homo sapiens (human). RNAcentral's name for it is "HSALNT0020424". The record is from RNAcentral. Lineage: Eukaryota; Metazoa; Chordata; Mammalia; Primates; Hominidae.
GGAAGGAGGGUAGCGUCCAGUGGAGGAUCUGCAGGCACCAGCAUGUUAAGCACUGCUACCUUGUAGAACCUACUUUCUGCUGGGUUAACAGGAGAGGAAACAAGCAUGGGGGAGGAUACAGCUCCUGGUGGUUUUUAAAGAAGAGUGCGUUUAAACUCAGAGUGUGCCUGAACAGCUGGGCUGGAAAAUUGCUUGUUUAGCUCUGCAGUUUGUGUCAGGGACUCACUGGCUGAGAGAGAAUAAAAGCAGCUUGAUUUUGCAAACUGUCAGUAUUAUGAACCAAGGCAAAGACCUCUAGGGAGCAGGGACUCACGCGACUUCUUUUCCUCAUUCCUACACAGCAGAGGGAAUGACAGGACCAAGCUCAAGAACAAUUGCCCAGGGGUCUGAGCUGUUAGCACUACAGGCAUUGAUUAGUGUCUACGGUUUUCAUGUUCCCGGCUCUGCCUUCAAGGAAUCACAGCCCCAGAAUUCCUGAAUCUCAGAUCCAGAAGGGACCGGAGAUGGCACAGGAAUCCCUGCUUUAGCUCCUGUGACAGCUCCUGGCCUGUGCGGAGCCCGGUGCCCCAGGGAAUGCUUACUACUCCUCUGCCCAGCCUGCUCACUGUUUGCCAGCAUAGACUGGUGGUAAAUUCCAUCUUGUGUGAGCUGAAACCUGUCUCCCUUUCAUCAACCAGCAGAGUGGGCAUGUACCACAGCACCUUAGAUGAGAAUGGCCCCUCAGAGAUCCCAUGAGUCGGACUACCCAAAUUCACCUGCAAGCAUUUUUCUCUGGGUCUACCUAGUGUUUCAAAACUUUUCUUUUGAUCCAAUAUUGACAACAGAGAGAUUUCCUAGAAAAAUCUAGCCUUGUGGAUUUUCUUGGUAUAUUGGAAAGGCUGGCAACCACGACCCACACUACCAUCUGAAAAGACCUGGCCGGAGUUGGGUGUUGGUUAUCCCAUUGUUAUGGGCAUGGAUCUCCAGUUUACUCUCACCUCCUGCACUCCCUACUGUCCCCAUUCCAGCAGCUCUCCUCUGAGAUCGCACUGGUCUCUGUAGCUUAUGAGUUUGUGAGACCAGACCUUGUUCAUCCUCCAAGUUUUACCAGUUGCCAUGUGCCAGGAUCCUCCUUGGCCUAUGGUUCAUUCCCUUCCUUUAUAAUUUAACCUCUUCCCUUCCAGAGCCACACUCACCCCAAGGGAUUUCCUUCCUCUUGUCCUGCUCCUAUUUCCAUCUUGUGGAGUAUCAAUGCAGCCCAGAUUACUGCCAUGGCCUCACUGUUAUCCCUGCUCUAAACAGCACUCCAGUCUACUCUCACCAAUGCAGCCAGAAGGAUCUUUCAAAAAUGCCAAUGAGAUGAUGUCACUCUCCUGCUUAAGACCUUUGUAGCUCUCCACUACCUUCAGGAUAACAUUCAAACCUACUAGGUUAGCAUAUCACACUUUCAACACCCAGGCCCCUUCCCACUCCAGCACCAUCUCUCAUCACUUUUCCAAGCACAUCAUUUGCUCCAGGCACAACAAACACUUAAGAGUUCCCCCCAAAAGCCAUUCUCUCUCCUUUAGUUCUUUCAGCUACUGUUUCCUUGGCUCAUGUGGAAACCGUCUUAAGUAUCUAACUCCAUUGUCUGGCCAUAGGCAACUUGAGAGCAGCUUCCUUACUGUUGUAUUCUCAGUAUCAACCAGUCUCUGGCUCAUAUUAACAUUUAAUAAGUAUUUAUUUGUUAAAGCAAACCAAAUAUGGCCUGAGAAGGACUCCAUACUUACAUAUUUGAGUCCCUGUGGAUGAACUGUAACCUAGCUUAAUAGGCAGACAAGAUUGAAAACCUAAUUUACGAGUAUGUGCCUGUAACAAUAGCUGAGUCUUGGCCAAUCCCAGCAGCCAUACUUCAACCACUCAUACACUGCUGAGUGUUCAAACUGUGUUCAAAUAAGGCAAACGCCCACCUGUAACCAAUCCAGCCAGCUGUUUCUGUACUUCACUGCCUAUUUAUUUACGUCACUUCCCUCUUUUUGUCUAUAAAUUUGUUCUGACCAUGAGGCAUCCCUGGAGUCUCUCUGAAUCUGCUGUGAUUCUGGAGACUGCCCAAUUCGUGAAUCGUUCAUUGCUCUAUUAAACUCCUCUAAAUUUAAUUCGGCUGAAGUUUUUAACAAAUUGAUUGAAUGUA